GGUUUAUACUUUUCAUAUUCCUCAAUCACUGAUGGACUGUGGACAGAUGGAGCCAGCGGUAAGAAGUAGAGAAAGCUGUAAUUGUCACUGAGCUCUGAGUAGCUGAAGGCCGGCUGGGAUUGCUGUCAAGUAUCCAACUUUAUCCUGUCAGGCAGAGGAUUUGUUGGCAGAGGGUGGGCCAGGCCUGACGGGUCUUUAGUCCACAGCCAGAGACAUCCCUUGAAAUCUAGGAUCUAAAGCCCUGGGAUUGACUGCACCUCAAAGUGCACUGGCAUUUCUAAGAAGCUGAGACCUUUAAUGCUGAAAUGUUGUGGUAUGAAAACACAUCAAAGCUACUGGAAUGUGGAGUGGACUCAUAUGCAGAGGCGUUGGUGUAAAACAAGUAACUGAUGGAAAAGGAUUCAAGUCCUACAAGUCCAACCACAGCUAUAUUGGCCGAAAAUACAAUCUGCCAUGGUAGCAUCACUGUUAAUGAAUCUUCAGGGCAAAAGAUGCAAGGACUUCUGAUUUCUGGCCCUCCACAUGUUACUACACUACCUUUCCAGCCAGCUGCCAUAACUAAACUAAAGUGAGACCAAUAGUGAGAGAUGCUGAUAGGUGUAAUUCAGCAAUAUCUAGAGGGCCAAUUUCAUUUUAUUCAAAGCAUUCCAUAAGACUUAAGACAAUUUCAAACCCCCUUCUAGAUGUCUAUUGAAGUUACAGCUUCCAGAAUCUCAGUAAGCAUCCCUAAGAACUAUUUAGAAAAUUAGUAUGGCUAGAAAAUAGCCAUACAAAUUACUACUCAUCUGUAGCAAAUAAAGUAUCUCUGUGACAAGGCAAGCUAGUUUUUACAACUGGAGAAACAUGUUUUACUUCUCUGUACUCCUAGUUCCAGGCCUUUGAAAGGCUCUUUUAUGCUUAAAACAAUAUGUGAUCAUUUUAUUUCAUGGUAAUUCCGUGUAACUUAUUGCCUUGCCAUCCAGUCUUUGAUCUUGCAUUUGAUUCUAAUGCAGUAAUACAGAUUUAUUUAUUUA
Non-coding RNA from Pantherophis guttatus, 1013 nucleotides. The record is from RefSeq and is a predicted model, not a curated record. Lineage: Eukaryota; Metazoa; Chordata; Lepidosauria; Squamata; Colubridae.